GGAGUUUGGACCGUCUCUCAGUUCCAAUGUGGCCGAUCACCCUCUCAGGUCGGCUACCGAUCGUCGACUUGGUGGGCCGUUACCUCACCAACUAUCUAAUCGGACGCGAGCCCACCCCAAACCGGUUUGCACCUUUUACCCCUGGGCCAUGUGACCCCGUGGUCUUAUGCGGUAUUAGCACCUGUUUCCAAGUGUUAUCCCCCUCGUCUGGGACAGGUUGCUCACGCGUUACUCACCCGUCCGCCACUGGAAUUAUCAGAAAUCCUGCCGAAGCUCUCAUCCCCAAUAAUCCCCGUUCGACUUGCAUGUGUUAAGCACGCCGCC
This 324-nucleotide ribosomal RNA is filed under the name uncultured Coriobacteriales bacterium. RNAcentral's name for it is "partial 16S ribosomal RNA". Lineage: Bacteria; Bacillati; Actinomycetota; Coriobacteriia; Coriobacteriales. The record is from RNAcentral.